This 429-nucleotide ribosomal RNA is filed under the name Chloroflexota bacterium. Its description in RNAcentral is "Chloroflexi bacterium partial 16S ribosomal RNA". It matches the Rfam family "Bacterial small subunit ribosomal RNA", at positions 355 to 776 of the family's 1533-position model. The record is from RNAcentral. Lineage: Bacteria; Bacillati; Chloroflexota.
UGGGGAAUAUUGCACAAUGGGCGCAAGCCUGAUGCAGCCAUGCCGCGUGUAUGAAGAAGGCCUUCGGGUUGUAAAGUACUUUCAGUCGGGAGGAAGGUGGUAAGGUUAAUAACCUUAUCAAUUGACGUUACCGACAGAAGAAGCACCGGCUAACUCCGUGCCAGCAGCCGCGGUAAUACGGAGGGUGCAAGCGUUAAUCGGAAUUACUGGGCGUAAAGCGCACGCAGGCGGUUGAUUGAGUCAGAUGUGAAAUCCCCGGGCUUAACCCGGGAAUUGCAUCUGGAACUGGUCAGCUAGAGUCUUGUAGAGGGGGGUAGAAUUCCAAGUGUAGCGGUGAAAUGCGUAGAGAUGGGGAGGAAUACCGGUGGCGAAGGCGGCCCCCUGGACAAAGACUGACGCUCAGGUGCGAAAGCGUGGGGAGCAAACAGG